AGGUAUGCUCUAUUAAUUCUUCAAGCAUUCACAUUCUUAACAUUCAGUCUUCAGUCAUCCAAGCUUUCCAACGCAACGCAAUCUACAAAUCCAGUCGUUUCCACGUCCUGACAUACCGAUCUGGAAAAAAAUUAGUGUUUCUUGCGCCUUCCGCAAUUUGUUGCGGCGGACAUAGGAAUUAUAUUCAACGAUACAGUGUCGCCACAUGUAAACACAAUAUUAAUCCGCCAUAUUGAAAUUUAUAAUCUCAUCAACAAGUAUGCGAAUUGUAUUUAAUAAACGAAUCUUAUUUAAGGACCAAUAGAUGUACAUGUAAUAAAUAAUAAAGUUGAUGAAAAAAUUUUGUCAUGAACGUUA
Long non-coding RNA from Bombus impatiens (common eastern bumble bee), 357 nucleotides. RefSeq lists it as uncharacterized. The record is from RefSeq and is a predicted model, not a curated record. NCBI's taxonomy places the organism in Eukaryota, Metazoa, Arthropoda, Insecta, Hymenoptera, Apidae. The transcript is spliced from 2 exons.